UAAGAGGUCCCGCCUGCCCCGUGACUAUAUGUUUAACGGCCGCGGUAUUUUGACCGUGCAAAGGUAGCGCAAUCACUUGUCUUUUAAAUGAAGACCCGUAUGAAUGGCAUAACGAGGGCCUAGCUGUCUCCUUUUUCCAGUCAAUGAAAUUAAUCUCCCCGUGCAGAAGCGGGGAUAAAACCAUAAGACGAGAAGACCCUGUGGAGCUUUAGACAAAAGACGGACCUUGCAAAACAACCCUGAACAAAGGACAAAACACCAAAGGACUCCGCCCAAAUGUCUUUGGUUGGGGCGACCGCGGGGAAAAAUAAAACCCCCACGUGGAAUGGGAGAACAUCCCCCAAAACUAAGAGGUACCCCUCUAAGAAGCAGAAUAUCUGACCAUAAAUGAUCCGGCACAGCCGAUCAACGGACCGAGUUACCCCAGGGAUAACAGCGCAAUCCCCUCCCAGAGCCCAUAUCGACGAGGGGGUUUACGACCUCGAUGUUGGAUCAGGACAUCCUAACGGUGCAGCCGCUGUUAAGGGUUCGUUUGUUCAACG
RNAcentral lists this ribosomal RNA (542 nucleotides) under Sargocentron sp. WLS-2006. Its description in RNAcentral is "partial 16S large subunit ribosomal RNA". It matches the Rfam family "Bacterial large subunit ribosomal RNA", at positions 1846 to 2586 of the family's 2925-position model. Lineage: Eukaryota; Metazoa; Chordata; Actinopteri; Holocentriformes; Holocentridae. The record is from RNAcentral.